CAGGGAAUUUUGCGCAAUGGGCGCAAGCCUGACGACGCAACGCCGCGUGAGUGAAGAAGGCCUUCGGGUUGUAAAGCUCUUUUGUCAGGGAAGAAACGGUAGUAGCGAAUAACUAUUACUAAUGACGGUACCUGGAGAAUAAGCCCCGGCAAACUUCGUGCCAGCAGCCGCGGUAAUACGAAGGGGGCUAGCGUUGUUCGGAAUUACUGGGCGUAAAGCGCACGUAGGCGGAUUGUUAAGUCAGAGGUGAAAUCCCGGAGCUCAACUUCGGAACUGCCUUUGAUACUGGCAAUCUAGAGUCCGGAAGAGGUUAGUGGAAUUCCCAGUGUAGAGGUGAAAUUCGUAGAUAUUGGGAAGAACACCAGUGGCGAAGGCGGCUAACUGGUCCGGUACUGACGCUGAGGUGCGAAAGCGUGGGGAGCAAACAGGAUUAGAUACCCGGGUAGUCCCUGAGCGGGCUGGCAAGGCGCAU
This 472-nucleotide ribosomal RNA is filed under the name uncultured bacterium. Its description in RNAcentral is "bacterial SSU rRNA". It matches the Rfam family "Bacterial small subunit ribosomal RNA", at positions 355 to 825 of the family's 1533-position model. The record is from RNAcentral.